GCUUACGGCCAUACCACCCUGAGCACGCCCGAUCUCUUCUGAUCUCGAAAGCUAAGCAGAGUCGGGCCUGGUUAGUACUUGGAUGGGAGACCGCCUGGGAAUAGCAGGUGAUCUAAGCU
RNAcentral lists this ribosomal RNA (119 nucleotides) under Betta splendens (Siamese fighting fish). Lineage: Eukaryota; Metazoa; Chordata; Actinopteri; Anabantiformes; Osphronemidae. The record is from RNAcentral.